RNAcentral lists this unclassified non-coding RNA (549 nucleotides) under Bombus terrestris (buff-tailed bumblebee). Its description in RNAcentral is "misc RNA ENSBTSG00005037582.1". The record is from RNAcentral. Lineage: Eukaryota; Metazoa; Arthropoda; Insecta; Hymenoptera; Apidae.
CAUUCAACCGAUUCGGUCUUAAGCGCUUAAUCGGCUUUGUUUCAACCUGACAUCCUCUUAAACGCACGGCAAGCCAAGCCAGCCUAACUUCCGUGGUUCGUGCCACGAAGCCGUUACUUGUUGACAAACGACGCUUACAUACUUUCACCAGAGCGAGCAAAGGAGAACUCCAGUUGGAUAGUUUUCCGUGAAAUAUUAAAACGUCCAGAAUGCCGUUAAGAAGUUGAUUAAAUUACCGUGCCCACCCGGAAACUCGAACGUGUUUACAUCUUGACGCGGACCGGUUGAAACCUACGCGAGUUACGAAGACGGGGAAGAAGAACGAUAAAAGAUCGUGUAAAGUAGCUUCGCGAAUUUUAGUGUCACGCUGCAUUUGUUACUACGGUACAAUAUUAGACGAGGCGACUAUGAAGCAAAGCGGUACACGAAAGUACAUGAAGACCUACCGUGGAAAAUCUUUAUGCGUAGGUAUAUUGUGCGUGUUAUAUAAAAUAUUAUAUUUUGAAAUUUCCGUAACGCUAUUUUCGCGAACAACUGUAUAUUUCAUAC